This 253-nucleotide ribosomal RNA is filed under the name uncultured bacterium. RNAcentral's name for it is "partial 16S ribosomal RNA". It matches the Rfam family "Bacterial small subunit ribosomal RNA", at positions 524 to 776 of the family's 1533-position model. The record is from RNAcentral.
UACGGGGGGGGCAAGCGUUGUUCGGAAUUACUGGGCGUAAAGGGCUCGUAGGCGGCCAACUAAGUCUGAUGUGAAAUCCCCGGGCUCAACCUGGGAAUGGCAUUGGAUACUGGCAGGCUAGAGUGCGGUAGAGGGUGGUGGAAUUCCCGGUGUAGCAGUGAAAUGCGUAGAGAUCGGGAGGAACAUCUGUGGCGAAGGCGGCCACCUGGACCAGCACUGACACUGAGGCACGAAAGCGUGGGGAGCAAACAGG